GGGCCAGGGGGUCUGGUUAUAUAGUCCCCUCAGGUGAACCUGGGCCGUCCGAUCAAACCGACAUUGAUUGAACGGUUAUUCUUGAUCCUUUAGGUCGGUGGAGAUCUCCUGAGAGAAAGAGUCCUGAUUGGGCUCCAAGUCAGGGUGGGCGCCCAGGGCAGGAGGGCGGGCGCCCUGCCUCUGGCCCCGUUCGGCCUCCGCUUCCUUCCCGUGGCUUCUGGAGUCUUCUAGAUGUAAGAUAAUUGCGCGGCACAUUAAUAUCUCUAUGUAAUCCUAACGUGUGGGCCUUUCUUCCGUAUUUCCUGAUAACCCCCUAUAGAAAUAGACAAACACCAAAACUCGUGGAAUUCUGUCAGAUAAAACCCUAAGUCUAGAUGUUGAUUUCAUUUAGAUCAUUUUCUUUGUUUAUUUGCUAAUUAAAUUUGAUACUUAAGGACCGUCAACAAACUCCCCCAAGCUUACCUCUUGCUCGUCCCUGAGCAAGGAUAGACUCAUCAAUGGAUCAGAAGUUGUUGCAAUAUCUUAAAAAUUUGACGGUACACAUGCUUUUAAAUAAGAUCUCAUCUCUGAGUUAGAGUAAACUGUCAAGAACUAAAACUUACUUACUUUACCUUUCACCAUGGGACUUGUAAUCGUCACUUCUGUCUUGAGUAGUUAAAAGAUAGAACAGUCUAGCCAAGUGCCAUGUCUCUUAUUCUUGAUCAGCUGUAGCUUUGGAGUUUUUGCAGAUUUCCAAAUAAAACUCAGAGAUUCCUUGUAUGACUCUCUAAAUCUCUCUUUUGUGGUAUUUCUGGAUCCUUACCAAGGCUGUGAUGGUAUAUGCCUUCUCUCAAGAUAUAUGGUAUUUGUGGUAUAAGGCAUAGCGACAUUGCCUUCUCUCUCACCCUACUCUAAUAAGGCUUUAAUAUCUGGAGCUCAUAGGUGGGAGAUAAAGUAUACAUACUUACAAGACAUUUAUUGUAUAGUCAAACCAUGGAUCCAAAGAAACAAAUCAAUAAGCCAAAUCAAGAUGUGCAUGUGUGGCGAAUGAAUGGUGUAUGGUGAUGAUGGUGAUAACAAUGGUGAAAGUCUAAUUCUACUUUUGCUCUUUUGAGGGGAUACAUACCUUCCUUGCUUUUUGAAACUUUAUGAGGAGAAUGAGAUGCUCUUCUUUUUCUUUCCUCUCAGGUGGGUAUCUUGUACCCCUAAUUCUACUGUCGGACACUUGUCCAUUUUUACCUCUCGUCUCACUUUUUCUUUCUUUCGAGGUUCCGGACACUUGCCCCUUUUUAUUUCCUCGUUUAUUAUUAUUUUUUUCUUUUCUUUUCUUCUCUUUUCUUUUUUUUCUUUUCAGAGCACUCAUCUCUUGAGAUAAUAUAGCAAGUGGUAGUAGCAAGAUAACUUGAGCAUUUAUUUCACAAGGAAAAACAGAAAUAUUUUUGGUUAUUCUCUCCCGGAUUAGGAGUAGAAUAUUUUUGGGUGGUUCUGGAGAUGGAAAUGAGUGGAUAUAUAUGGAUGGUACUUCCGGAGUAGAAGUAGCAUAUAUGAGUGAAUGUGCAAGUGAAAUCUUGAUUUAACCACAUGACAAGCUCCUAAGGGUCUACACAGCUUGACCACACUCAAUGCUCAUAAGCAGUAAAUAGUAAAUGUGUGGCUCAAAGUCUAGCAAGCAUGUAUAUAUAGCUGUGGUAGGAAUUUAAACUUUCAUCAUACAGGAACUCAUCAUGCAAUAUUUUAAAGAUUUUUCAAAGAUAAAAUUCUCCAGAAUUCUAGCAUCUCUAGGAACAGAUAAACAGCAGCUCAACCUUCCCAUAUCAUAUCCGUUAACAACUUAGAUUUCAGAUCAAGUUUUUAUCCCACAAGUUUAGAUCUAGAGCAAGCUUUAAAUUAUAACAGUUAUGUCUAAACUUGAGAGAGAACUUCAAAUGUGCAAAUUAGGCAGAGCAACUAUUCAUCAUAUCCAUGCUAGAGUUUUAUUAUUAAGAUUCAGAUUAGCAUAGCCACUUUUUUUAUUUAUUAAACACACUAAGCAAAAGAUAUAUAUAAGCACAAAAUCUUUAUUUGGUUUUUCAAAGUUUAUGUAUUUUAAUAUUCUAAUAUAAUAUAAGUAUAAAGAGAUGUAGUUAUACUUAGCGAGAUAAAUGGGGGUGCUCUCCCCCAAGCUGAAUUUUGACGUAAUUUUUAUUGAUGUAGCUAGCAGGUGGCAGAGGUGUAUUUGAAAGUCAGCAGCAUUCUGACAGCGAUUAGAAUGUCCUCCGUCUGCUAGUAUUCUUGAUUCUUAAAUUCUGUGGAGCUCAAAUAGAUAACAAAGCUUGUGGAACUAAUUAAGUGUUAGCAUAAAUAUCUAGCCUUCAUCAUGUUGAGCUUCCUCAAUAAAUAUUACUCCCUGUUUUUAUAUUUUUAUUUUAUAAAGCAGAAAAGAAAUAUUUAUUUUAUUUUUAUGCCACCACAGUGAAGGUACUUAUGGGUUUUAUGCCACUCGUAUUCACACAUAGGGCUUAGUAUUUUUUAACAUUUUUAUUUUCUUUUCAAGAUAGCAUGAUUAACUAAUAAUCUAUUUAAGGAAAGUAAAUAAUUAAAGGGAAAAGGAAAUGCAGAAAGGAUAAAUAUGGAUAACUACCGAUCUUACCUUUCGACGAGGGUUCAAUAUUUUAAGUCUUCUUAACAAGACUUCUCACCGUGUUCAUUCUUCAGGUGCGUCAUUUGAUUCAGGUGCGGACCUUGACGUCUGCACCUCUUGAUACGGUGUCACCCAUGUUCUUCAUUUGCCCAGCAGUUCGAAGUGCGGCGUUGGCAGUAACCUGCUCAGAGAGACAAGGCAGAAAUCAAGUGCAUGGGUCCUGUUGGUGGAAAACACCAACAGAACCUAAAGUGUAUUUGUUCUUCUCUAACACUAAGCAUAGUGAGCAAGACAAAGUUGAUGGAUGAAAAGUUCAUGAGUGUAGCACUUAUAACAUUUGUCAGAUCAGAUCGCUCAACCUUAUGAAAAGAUAAUCUAUCUAUGUAUAUGUCUUUUUCUUUAUAUCUCUCAAUGAUUGAAUGUGUAACAUUAUAGCUCAUAUGAUUAGGAGUGUGGGAUCAUGGAGGUAGUAUUAAGAACAAGGAUUAAAGGACUAAACAUGUUGAAUCAGCUGGGUUGGUUAAUCUAGAGUUGUAAAUCAUACAUCUUUGUCUCUUUUAUUUAUAUGAACGCUAGAACCAAGGAGAAGCUUAUAGAAGUGAUAGUCAAGUACCUUAAGGUGUUACCUUACUUGAAGAGUGAUGGUACCAUCUCACCUUGUGGAAGCUUCCCAUUCGUAGUGGUUGUGUAUCUUGUUUAUGUACUUUGUCUUCUUCCAUGGAUCAUCUCUCUAUG
Molecule: long non-coding RNA, 3334 nt
Filed under: Sorghum bicolor (sorghum)
Lineage: Eukaryota; Viridiplantae; Streptophyta; Magnoliopsida; Poales; Poaceae
Description: long non-coding RNA (SBIC_LNC007020)
Source: RNAcentral